This 491-nucleotide ribosomal RNA is filed under the name Escherichia coli. RNAcentral describes it as "bacterial SSU rRNA". It matches the Rfam family "Bacterial small subunit ribosomal RNA", at positions 112 to 600 of the family's 1533-position model. The record is from RNAcentral. Lineage: Bacteria; Pseudomonadati; Pseudomonadota; Gammaproteobacteria; Enterobacterales; Enterobacteriaceae.
UAUGUCUGGGAACUGCCUGAUGGAGGGGGAUAACUACUGGAAACGGUAGCUAAUACCGCAUAACGUCGCAAGACCAAAGAGGGGGACCUUCGGGCCUCUUGCCAUCGGAUGUGCCCAGAUGGGAUUAGCUAGUAGGUGGGGUAACGGCUCACCUAGGCGACGAUCCCUAGCUGGUCUGAGAGGAUGACCAGCCACACUGGAACUGAGACACGGUCCAGACUCCUACGGGAGGCAGCAGUGGGGAAUAUUGCACAAUGGGCGCAAGCCUGAUGCAGCCAUGCCGCGUGUAUGAAGAAGGCCUUCGGGUUGUAAAGUACUUUCAGCGGGGAGGAAGGGAGUAAAGUUAAUACCUUUGCUCAUUGACGUUACCCGCAGAAGAAGCACCGGCUAACUCCGUGCCAGCAGCCGCGGUAAUACGGAGGGUGCAAGCGUUAAUCGGAAUUACUGGGCGUAAAGCGCACGCAGGCGGUUUGUUAAGUCAGAUGUGAAAU